Molecule: ribosomal RNA, 318 nt
Filed under: uncultured eukaryote
Lineage: Eukaryota
Description: partial 18S ribosomal RNA
Rfam family: Eukaryotic small subunit ribosomal RNA
Source: RNAcentral
CCCUUAGAUGGUCUGGGCGGCACGCGCGCUACAACGAUGCAUUCAAAAAGUCUUCUGACCUUAGAAGGUUGGGUAUUCUCCAAAGUGCAUCGUGAUGGGAAUAGUUUAUUGCAAUUUUUAAUCUUGAACGAGGAAUUCCUAGUAAGUACAGGUCAUCAACUUGUGUUGAUUACGUCCCUGCCCUUUGUACACACCGCCCGUCGCUCCUACCGAUUGAAUGUUCCGGUGAGCUCUUCGGACUGCGCGGUCUGCAGUUUCUGCGUUCCGUGCGGAAAGUUGCGCAAACCUUAACAUUUAGAGGAAGGAGAAGUCGUAACA